This 525-nucleotide ribosomal RNA is filed under the name uncultured bacterium. RNAcentral's name for it is "bacterial SSU rRNA". It matches the Rfam family "Bacterial small subunit ribosomal RNA", at positions 376 to 896 of the family's 1533-position model. The record is from RNAcentral.
CGGCAAGCCUGACGGAGCGACGCCGCGUGGGGGAUGAAGUCCUUCGGGAUGUAAACUCUAAUAGUAUGUUAGGAAGCGAGUCGACCUAACACGUCGGCAAGUUGACCGACAUACGAAAGGGGCGGCUAACUCCGUGCCAGCAGCCGCGGUAAGACGGAGGCCCCGAGCGUUGUUCGGAAUCACUGGGCUUAAAGCGCGUGUAGGCGGGAUGGCAAGUACCUGUGAAAGCCCCGGCUUCAACCCGGGAACUGCUCGGUAUACUGCCAUUCUUGAGGCAGGUAGGGGUCACUGGAACCUUAGGUGGAGCGGUGAAAUGCGUAGAUAUCUAAGGGAACGCCUGUGGCGAAAGCGGGUGACUGGGCCUGUCCUGACGCUGAGACGCGAAAGCGUAGGGAGCAAACGGGAUUAGAUACCCCGGUAGUCUACGCCGUAAACGAUGCGCACUAGGUUCGAGAGCUUCUGACAGUCUUCGAGCCGAAACAAAAGCGAUAAGUGCGCCGCCUGGGGAGUACGGCCGCAAGGCUA